This 161-nucleotide ribosomal RNA is filed under the name uncultured bacterium. RNAcentral describes it as "partial 16S ribosomal RNA". It matches the Rfam family "Bacterial small subunit ribosomal RNA", at positions 1340 to 1500 of the family's 1533-position model. The record is from RNAcentral.
AAUGGCAGGUCAGCAUACUGCCGUGAAUACGUUCCCGGGCCUUGUACACACCGCCCGUCACACCAUGAGAGUUGGGAAUACCCGAAGCCUGUGAGCUAACAUUUANGAGGCAGCAGUCGAAGGUAGAAUCAAUGAUUGGGGUGAAGUCGUAACAAGGUAGC